RNAcentral lists this transfer RNA (76 nucleotides) under Clostridiales bacterium. RNAcentral describes it as "tRNA-Arg". It matches the Rfam family "tRNA". From Rfam's summary of the family: Transfer RNA (tRNA) molecules are approximately 80 nucleotides in length. Their secondary structure includes four short double-helical elements and three loops (D, anti-codon, and T loops). The record is from RNAcentral. RNAcentral also lists the same sequence under 1 other name. Lineage: Bacteria; Bacillati; Bacillota; Clostridia; Eubacteriales.
GCGCCUGUAGCUCAGUGGAUAGAGCGACGGACUCCGGAUCCGUAGGUCGCAGGUUCGACCCCUGUCAGGCGCGCCA